Molecule: ribosomal RNA, 266 nt
Filed under: uncultured bacterium
Lineage: Bacteria
Description: partial 16S ribosomal RNA
Rfam family: Bacterial small subunit ribosomal RNA
Source: RNAcentral
GAUGGCGACCGGCGCACGGGUGAGUAACACGUAUCCAACCUGCCGAUGACUCGGGGAUAGCCUUUCGAAAGAAAGAUUAAUACCCGAUGGCAUAGUUCUUCCGCAUGGUGGAACUAUUAAAGAAUUUCGGUCAUCGAUGGGGAUGCGUUCCAUUAGGUUGUUGGCGGGGUAACGGCCCACCAAGCCUUCGAUGGAUAGGGGUUCUGAGAGGAAGGUCCCCCACAUUGGAACUGAGACACGGUUCAAACUCCUACGGGAGGCAGCAU